RNAcentral lists this transfer RNA (78 nucleotides) under Vulcanisaeta distributa DSM 14429. RNAcentral's name for it is "tRNA-Val (TAC) (tRNA-Val-TAC-1-1)". It matches the Rfam family "tRNA". From Rfam's summary of the family: Transfer RNA (tRNA) molecules are approximately 80 nucleotides in length. Their secondary structure includes four short double-helical elements and three loops (D, anti-codon, and T loops). Further hydrogen bonds mediate the characteristic L-shaped molecular structure. tRNAs have two regions of fundamental functional importance: the anti-codon, which is responsible for specific mRNA codon recognition, and the 3' end, to which the tRNAs corresponding amino acid is attached (by aminoacyl-tRNA synthetases). tRNAs cope with the degeneracy of the genetic code in two manners: having more than one tRNA (with a specific anti-codon) for a particular amino acid; and 'wobble' base-pairing, i.e. permitting non-standard base-pairing at the 3rd anti-codon position. Lineage: Archaea; Thermoproteati; Thermoproteota; Thermoprotei; Thermoproteales; Thermoproteaceae. The record is from RNAcentral. RNAcentral also lists the same sequence under 2 other names.
GGGCCCGUAGUCUAGCCUGGUUAGGAUGUCCGCCUUACGAGCGGGAGGUCCCGGGUUCAAGUCCCGGCGGGCCCACCA